UACGGGGGGGGCAAGCGUUGUUCGGAAUUACUGGGCGUAAAGGGCUCGUAGGCGGCCUGAUAAGUCGGCUGUGAAAGUCAAGGGCUCAACCCUUGAAUGCCGGCCGAUACUGUCAGGCUAGAGUCCGGAAGAGGCGAGUGGAAUUCCUGGUGUAGCGGUGAAAUGCGCAGAUAUCAGGAGGAACACCUAUGGCGAAGGCAGCUCGCUGGGACGGUACUGACGCUGAGACGCGAAAGCGUGGGGAGCGAACAGG
Molecule: ribosomal RNA, 253 nt
Filed under: uncultured bacterium
Lineage: Bacteria
Description: partial 16S ribosomal RNA
Rfam family: Bacterial small subunit ribosomal RNA
Source: RNAcentral